Molecule: long non-coding RNA, 1816 nt
Filed under: Homo sapiens (human)
Lineage: Eukaryota; Metazoa; Chordata; Mammalia; Primates; Hominidae
Description: HSALNT0085107
Source: RNAcentral
UGCAUGUCUGAUAAAGGACUAUUUUUUAAAAUAUACAAAGCACUAUCAAUAAGAAAAUGAACAACCCAAUUUAAAAAUUGGCAAAGGACUUGGACACUUCACCAAAGAAGAUGUACAGAUGGCAAGUAAGCACAGGAAAAUUGCUCCAUAUUUUCAUUUCAUUUAUUUAAUAAUUGAAAAUUAAAGCAGGAGAUACUACUAUUACAACUAUAAGAAUGGCAAAAAUUCAAAACGCUGAGAACUUCAAAUGAUGGCAAAGGUGGGGAGUAACAGAAACUCACAAUAAUUGCUGGUAGGAAUGAAAAAUAUUACAGCCACUUUUGAAGACACUUUGGCAGUCUCUUACAAAAGUAAACAUAUUCUUACUGAUUAUCCAGGAAUCACACUCCUUGAUAUUUACCUAAAUAGGUGGAACAUUUAUGUUUCCACAAAAACUUGCACACAGAUGUUUAUACAAGCUUUAUUCAUAACUGCCAAAACUUAAGAAGCAACCUAGAUGUUGAGUUGGUACAUGUACAAUAAACUGUUCAUUCAGAAAAUGGAGUAUUAUUCAGCACUAAAAAGAAAUAAGCUAUCAAGUCACGAAAAGACAUGGAGGAAAUUUAAAUGCAUAUUACUAAGUGAAAGAAGCCAAUUUGAAAAAAAAUGAUAGCUGCAAGGAGUUAGAGGGAAGAGAGUGAUAGACAGUGCACAGAGGAAUUUUAGCACUGUGGAAAUAUUCUGCAUGAUUCUAUAAUGGGGGUUACAUGUCAUUAAACAUUUGUCAUAACCCAUAGAAUACACAUCACCUGGAGUGUACCAUAAUAUAAACUGUGGACUGCAGGUAAUGAUAUGUUUGUUCUUUUGUAACAUACACAACAUAACAUACACAAGUGUAUCAUUACCUGCAGUCUAUAGUUUAUAUUAUGGUAUACUCCGGGUGUUGUGUAUUUUUAACAUAAGUAACAAGUGUGUAUUAUAUUUGUAACAAGUGCAUCACUCUGGCGUGAACGUUGAUAGUGAGAAAGGCUGGAGGGGAAGGGAGAGGGGAAAUUAGUGAACUGUCUGUACUUUCUGCUUCAUAGUGCAGUGAACCUAUAACUGCUCUAAAAAGUGAAAUCUAUUUUUUAAAAUAUUUUCUAUGUUGCUUCCUCAGAUUUUACUUAGAAAUGAAUAAUAUAAUGGAAUGGAAUAUUGUUAAGCAUAUGUGAUAGAGGAAUUGUGAGAUGAUCAAAGUAAUCUCACUUCUUUAAAAAGACUGUCCUUUCAUUAGAAUUUGUACGUGUAAAUAGUCUUAGUUUUCUUCACAAAAGCAAAAAUAUUAUUAGAUGCUGCAGAUUUUUUAUAUGGAUUGUUUUCUUGUUUCUUUUGUCUAUGUAGAAACAAAACAAGAAUAAAAUAGGUAUGUAUAAUAAAUGUCUAUUGCAUAUUUACAACAAUGUGUGAUAGUUAUAUAUUUUCAUAUUGCUUUAAUUCAUUAAAACCGGCAAUGAAGUAGUAAUUUGUUAGAGUUUAAGAAAAUGGGAAAAAUUGCUCAAUUCAUUAGAAGAGAAAUUUUGUAAAACCUAGAAAUGAAAAUAUAAAAAUAUUAAUAAUCUCUAAAAUAUAAUAUUAAUAUUAUGUAUGUAUACAUGUAGCUCUGAUAUGGUUUGGCUGUGUCCCCACCCAAAUCUCAUCUUGAAUUCUCAGAUGUGGGAUGGACCUGGUGAAAGAGACAGUGUCCCACUUGUUGCUCAGGCUGGAUUACAGUGGCACAAUCAUAGUUCACUGCAGCCUCCAAGUUUUGGCUCAAGGUUCCAGCAUCAGCCCCAAAAGUAGCUGGGAAAACAAGUAUGCA